GAAUAUGAUGAGAAUUAUUGUCGCCCCAGUCUUAUGAGCUUUGUAACUUUGCAUAGCUCUAUGGUGAUAGACAUAUUUAAUAAUCUGAUUCACUUUCAUUUAUUCUUAUUUUUUUAUAUUUAUUUUAUUAAAUUUAUUAAAUUUGGAGUUGAUUUAUAUUGCAUUUGAUUGGUGUGAUGAUGUAUUUACCCAAUUUUUUCUGCACUGUUUGAAUGAUGAUCUAUAAUACAUGCACUACCAUCUGAUCUUUCAAUUGCAAUAAAUCAUUUCCAUUUUAUUUUUCUUAUAUCCCAAAUUUUUUAAAUAAAUUGGUUUUUAUUUUAUUAUUUAAAAAUAAAAAUACAGUUAUUGCAAUCGAUGAUGCAAUGAAAUUAUUUACACUGAUGUUUUACUGUGAUUAACAUAAAUUUAUCACCAUCUUUCGACUGAGAUUGCACUUUUUUAUUUAAAAAAUAUAUAUAUUUUUUAG
Molecule: long non-coding RNA, 469 nt
Filed under: Helianthus annuus (common sunflower)
Lineage: Eukaryota; Viridiplantae; Streptophyta; Magnoliopsida; Asterales; Asteraceae
Source: RNAcentral